GGGGUUGUAGCUCAGUGGUAGAGCGCUUGCCUCACGUGCGUGAAACCCUGGGUUCAAUCCCUAGCACCA
RNAcentral lists this transfer RNA (69 nucleotides) under Ictidomys tridecemlineatus (thirteen-lined ground squirrel). RNAcentral describes it as "Spermophilus tridecemlineatus (thirteen-lined ground squirrel) tRNA". It matches the Rfam family "tRNA". Rfam says of the family: Transfer RNA (tRNA) molecules are approximately 80 nucleotides in length. Their secondary structure includes four short double-helical elements and three loops (D, anti-codon, and T loops). Lineage: Eukaryota; Metazoa; Chordata; Mammalia; Rodentia; Sciuridae. The record is from Rfam by way of RNAcentral.